Non-coding RNA from Caenorhabditis elegans, 156 nucleotides. The record is from Ensembl. Lineage: Eukaryota; Metazoa; Nematoda; Chromadorea; Rhabditida; Rhabditidae.
UGAUUGCGAUACAAUAAGAAGAUAAAAUAAGUGGCUUGAAAAUUUUUGAAAAACUACAGCUUCAUUGAAGCUGACUGUGGGUGCUCCGUAUUGUCACUUUAGAGCAGCUUGAAAAGUUUAGUCAAUACUAUUUCGAGAAUCCUCUAUGGGAGAAGC